GGGUUGUGAGGUUAAGCGACUAAGCGUACACGGUGGAUGCCCUGGCAGUCAGAGGCGAUGAAGGACGUGCUAAUCUGCGAUAAGCGUCGGUAAGGUGAUAUGAACCGUUAUAACCGGCGAUUUCCGAAUGGGGAAACCCAGUGUGUUUCGACACACUAUCAUUAACUGAAUCCAUAGGUUAAUGAGGCGAACCGGGGGAACUGAAACAUCUAAGUACCCCGAGGAAAAGAAAUCAACCGAGAUUCCCCCAGUAGCGGCGAGCGAACGGGGAGGAGCCCAGAGUCUGAAUCAGUGUGUGUGUUAGUGGAAGCGUCUGGAAAGGCGCGCGAUACAGGGUGACAGCCCCGUACACAAAAAUGCACAUACUGUGAGCUCGAUGAGUAGGGCGGGACACGUGGUAUCCUGUCUGAAUAUGGGGGGACCAUCCUCCAAGGCUAAAUACUCCUGACUGACCGAUAGUGAACCAGUACCGUGAGGGAAAGGCGAAAAGAACCCCGGCGAGGGGAGUGAAAAAGAACCUGAAACCGUGUACGUACAAGCAGUGGGAGCACGCUUAGGCGUGUGACUGCGUACCUUUUGUAUAAUGGGUCAGCGACUUAUAUUCUGUAGCAAGGUUAACCGAAUAGGGGAGCCGAAGGGAAACCGAGUCUUAACUGGGCGUUAAGUUGCAGGGUAUAGACCCGAAACCCGGUGAUCUAGCCAUGGGCAGGUUGAAGGUUGGGUAACACUAACUGGAGGACCGAACCGACUAAUGUUGAAAAAUUAGCGGAUGACUUGUGGCUGGGGGUGAAAGGCCAAUCAAACCGGGAGAUAGCUGGUUCUCCCCGAAAGCUAUUUAGGUAGCGCCUCGUGAAUUCAUCUCCGGGGGUAGAGCACUGUUUCGGCAAGGGGGUCAUCCCGACUUACCAACCCGAUGCAAACUGCGAAUACCGGAGAAUGUUAUCACGGGAGACACACGGCGGGUGCUAACGUCCGUCGUGAAGAGGGAAACAACCCAGACCGCCAGCUAAGGUCCCAAAGUCAUGGUUAAGUGGGAAACGAUGUGGGAAGGCCCAGACAGCCAGGAUGUUGGCUUAGAAGCAGCCAUCAUUUAAAGAAAGCGUAAUAGCUCACUGGUCGAGUCGGCCUGCGCGGAAGAUGUAACGGGGCUAAACCAUGCACCGAAGCUGCGGCAGCGACGCUUAUGCGUUGUUGGGUAGGGGAGCGUUCUGUAAGCCUGUGAAGGUGUGCUGUGAGGCAUGCUGGAGGUAUCAGAAGUGCGAAUGCUGACAUAAGUAACGAUAAAGCGGGUGAAAAGCCCGCUCGCCGGAAGACCAAGGGUUCCUGUCCAACGUUAAUCGGGGCAGGGUGAGUCGACCCCUAAGGCGAGGCCGAAAGGCGUAGUCGAUGGGAAACAGGUUAAUAUUCCUGUACUUGGUGUUACUGCGAAGGGGGGACGGAGAAGGCUAUGUUGGCCGGGCGACGGUUGUCCCGGUUUAAGCGUGUAGGCUGGUUUUCCAGGCAAAUCCGGAAAAUCAAGGCUGAGGCGUGAUGACGAGGCACUACGGUGCUGAAGCAACAAAUGCCCUGCUUCCAGGAAAAGCCUCUAAGCAUCAGGUAACAUCAAAUCGUACCCCAAACCGACACAGGUGGUCAGGUAGAGAAUACCAAGGCGCUUGAGAGAACUCGGGUGAAGGAACUAGGCAAAAUGGUGCCGUAACUUCGGGAGAAGGCACGCUGAUAUGUAGGUGAAGUCCCUUGCGGAUGGAGCUGAAAUCAGUCGAAGAUACCAGCUGGCUGCAACUGUUUAUUAAAAACACAGCACUGUGCAAACACGAAAGUGGACGUAUACGGUGUGACGCCUGCCCGGUGCCGGAAGGUUAAUUGAUGGGGUCAGCGCAAGCGAAGCUCUUGAUCGAAGCCCCGGUAAACGGCGGCCGUAACUAUAACGGUCCUAAGGUAGCGAAAUUCCUUGUCGGGUAAGUUCCGACCUGCACGAAUGGCGUAAUGAUGGCCAGGCUGUCUCCACCCGAGACUCAGUGAAAUUGAACUCGCUGUGAAGAUGCAGUGUACCCGCGGCAAGACGGAAAGACCCCGUGAACCUUUACUAUAGCUUGACACUGAACAUUGAGCCUUGAUGUGUAGGAUAGGUGGGAGGCUUUGAAGUGUGGACGCCAGUCUGCAUGGAGCCGACCUUGAAAUACCACCCUUUAAUGUUUGAUGUUCUAACGUGGACCCGUGAUCCGGGUUGCGGACAGUGUCUGGUGGGUAGUUUGACUGGGGCGGUCUCCUCCUAAAGAGUAACGGAGGAGCACGAAGGUUGGCUAAUCCUGGUCGGACAUCAGGAGGUUAGUGCAAUGGCAUAAGCCAGCUUGACUGCGAGCGUGACGGCGCGAGCAGGUGCGAAAGCAGGUCAUAGUGAUCCGGUGGUUCUGAAUGGAAGGGCCAUCGCUCAACGGAUAAAAGGUACUCCGGGGAUAACAGGCUGAUACCGCCCAAGAGUUCAUAUCGACGGCGGUGUUUGGCACCUCGAUGUCGGCUCAUCACAUCCUGGGGCUGAAGUAGGUCCCAAGGGUAUGGCUGUUCGCCAUUUAAAGUGGUACGCGAGCUGGGUUUAGAACGUCGUGAGACAGUUCGGUCCCUAUCUGCCGUGGGCGCUGGAGAACUGAGGGGGGCUGCUCCUAGUACGAGAGGACCGGAGUGGACGCAUCACUGGUGUUCGGGUUGUCAUGCCAAUGGCACUGCCCGGUAGCUAAAUGCGGAAGAGAUAAGUGCUGAAAGCAUCUAAGCACGAAACUUGCCCCGAGAUGAGUUCUCCCUGACCCUUUAAGGGUCCUGAAGGAACGUUGAAGACGACGACGUUGAUAGGCCGGGUGUGUAAGCGCAGCGAUGCGUUGAGCUAACCGGUACUAAUGAACCGUGAGGCUUAACCUUACAACGCCGAAGCUGUU
Molecule: ribosomal RNA, 2930 nt
Filed under: Escherichia coli
Lineage: Bacteria; Pseudomonadati; Pseudomonadota; Gammaproteobacteria; Enterobacterales; Enterobacteriaceae
Description: 23S ribosomal RNA
Rfam family: Bacterial large subunit ribosomal RNA
Source: RNAcentral